GCCACAAUCAUCAUAAGGGUGUCUAGUUUGAAAAAUGUGUCCGAUGACCCCGCCAACCAACCAAGAUGGCCGCCAUGGCUAAAAAUAGAACAUAGGGGUAAAAUGUAGAUUUUGGCUUAUAUCUCUGAAACCAAAGCAUUUAGAGUAAAUCUGACAUAGGGUAAAACUGAUUAUCAGGUCAAGAUCUAUCUGCCCUCAAAUUUUCAGACAAAUCUGACAACCCGUUGUUGGGUUGCUGCCCCUGAAUUGUUAAUUUUAAGGAAAUUUUGCAGUUUUUAUACGACCGCAAAAAAAUUUUGUGGUCGUAUAUUGGUAUGACGUUGGCGUCGUUGGCGUCGUCGUCGUCGUCGUCGUCGUCCGAAUACACAAUGGUUUUCGCACUCUAACUUUAGUUUAAGUGAAUAGAUCUCUAUGAAAUUUUACCAUAAGGUUCAAUACCACAAAAGGAAGGUUGGGAUUGAUUUUGGGGGUUAUGGUAAUAACAGUAAAGGAAUAAGGGGCCAAAAAUAAGCAUUUUUGUAACUUCCAGACAUAACUUGUGUGUUAGUGUAUGGAUCUCUCUGACAUUGUACCACAAGGUUCCAUAUCACUAAAGGAAUGCUGGGAUUGAUUUUGGGGGUAAUUGCCUCCAAAUUUUAGGAAUUAGGGGCCAAAAAAGGGGCAAAAAACAAGCAUUUUUCUAGUUUCAUGACAAUAACUUGUGUGUAAGUGUAUGGAUCUUUCUGAAAUUGUAC
This is a long non-coding RNA of Mytilus californianus (California mussel), 734 nucleotides long. RefSeq lists it as uncharacterized. The transcript has 3 exons. NCBI's taxonomy places the organism in Eukaryota, Metazoa, Mollusca, Bivalvia, Mytilida, Mytilidae. The record is from RefSeq and is a predicted model, not a curated record.